Symphalangus syndactylus (siamang) is the source of this 1169-nucleotide long non-coding RNA. RefSeq lists it as uncharacterized. NCBI's taxonomy places the organism in Eukaryota, Metazoa, Chordata, Mammalia, Primates, Hylobatidae. The record is from RefSeq and is a predicted model, not a curated record.
CCUUCCCAGUGAGACAAGAUGUAGAAGUAAAAGACAGUGUGUCUUAGUCCAUUUAGUGUUGCUAUAAAGGAAUACCCAAGGCUGGAUAAUUUAUAAAGAAUAGAGGUUUAUUUGGCUCGCAGUUCUGCAAGCUACACAAGAAGCAUGGCACUAGCACCAAUGCAUUUUCUGAGGGCCUCAGGCUGCUUCCUCUCAUGGGAGAAAGUGAAGGGGAGCCAGCACGUGCAGAGAUCACAGGGCAAAAAACAAAGCAAGAGAAAGAAGGGGAAGGGGCCAGACUCAUUUUAACAACCAGAUAUUGUGGGAAUUGAGACUGAGAAUUCACUCAGUCCUCACCUCCAAGGAAUAGCAUUAAUCUAUUCACGAGGGAUCUACCUCCAUGGCCCAAAUACUUCCCAUGAGGCCUCUCCUCCAACACUGGGGAUCAAAUUUCAACAUGAGGUUUGGCGGGCUCAUAUAUCCAAACCACACAGCACAGUAAUAUCAAAUGAGUGAAUGUGAAGGCUUAGGAAAGGCCCAGGCUAAUGUGUGUGAUCAUGCCUUCGUUGUUUUUUCUUGUUUUUUUUUUUUUUGUUUUUUUUUUUUUAAUACAGGGUUUUUCUGUCGCCUAGGCUGUAGUGCAGUGGUGCCAUCACGACUCACUGCACCUCAAUCUUCCAGGCUCAAUCGACUCUCCCACCUCAGCCUCCUAAGUAGAUGGGACUACCGCUGCAUGCCAUCACGCCCAACUGAUUUUCCUAUUUUUUGCAGAGAAGGAGUCUUGCCAUGUUACCCAGGCUGGUCUUGAACUUCUGGGCUCAAGUGAUAUGCUCGCGUUGGCCUCCCAAAGUGCUGGAAUUACAGGCAUGAGCCACUGCGCCCAGCCCCCAUGUCUUCCUUUUUUAGAAAAGAGUUAAAAGGUCCUGAAUUCCAGCAGAAUGGCUGAAGCCAACCAGUCUAAAGACCUCAACCAAGGAACCAAUCAACUCUGCACAAGAAUGCAGUUUCUUCAUCUCCCUGUCCCAGAAAUUCACCCCUUGCUUCUUGACCAAUCAGCAAUCCCCAUAUUUUAGCCCUACCUGUUCAGACCCUUCACAAGCUCCAUCCCCAAACUCUGGAGGGAGGAGGAUUUGAAGGUUCCUCUGUCUCAUUUGACUGCCCUACAAUUAUUAAACUCUUUCUCUACUGCA